This 512-nucleotide ribosomal RNA is filed under the name uncultured Bacillota bacterium. RNAcentral's name for it is "uncultured Firmicutes bacterium partial 16S ribosomal RNA". Lineage: Bacteria; Bacillati; Bacillota. The record is from RNAcentral.
CACGUAGUUAGCCGUGACUUUCUCACAGGGUACCGUCACUGUCUUCUUCCCCGUGCGACAACAGUUUACAAUCCGAAGACCUUCUUCCUGCACGCGGCGUUGCUGCGUCAGGGUUCCCCCCAUUGCGCAAUAUUCCCCACUGCUGCCUCCCGUAGGAGUCUGGGCCGUGUCUCAGUCCCAAUGCGGCCGAUCAACCUCUCAGUUCGGCUACAGAUCGUCGCCUUGGUGAGCCGUUACCUCACCAACCAGCUAAUCUGACGCGAGUCCAUCCAUAAGCGAUAAAUCUUUCAAAUAUCUACCAUGCGGUAAAUAUUCAAUAUGCGGUAUUAGUCCACGUUUCCAUGGAUUAUCCCCCUCUUAUGGGCAGGUUACUCACGCGUUACUCGCCCGUCCGCCACGUUUCCUCUUAAAACGUUCACCCCGAACGGGAUCACACAUAAGAUUCUCGUUCGACUUGCAUGUGUUAGGCACGCCGCCAGCGUCGUCUCGAGCCGACGACGUCGAAACUACUA